UCGGGAAUUUUGGGCAAUGGGCGAAAGCCUGACCCAGCAACGCCGCGUGAAGGAUGAAGUAUUUCGGUAUGUAAACUUCGUAAGAAUAGGAAGAAUAAAUGACGGUACUAUUUGUAAGGUCCGGCUAACUACGUGCCAGCAGCCGCGGUAAUACGUAGGGACCAAGCGUUGUUCGGAUUUACUGGGCGUAAAGGGCGCGUAGGCGGCGUGGUAAGUCAUCUGUGAAAUCUCCGAGCUUAACUCGGAACGGUCAGAUGAUACUGCUGUGCUAGAGUAUAGAAAGGGCAAUCGGAAUUCUUGGUGUAGCGGUGAAAUGCGUAGAUAUCAAGAGGAACACCUGAGGUGAAGACGGGUUGCUGGGCUGACACUGACGCUGAGGCGCGAAAGCCAGGGGAGCAAACGGGAUUAGAUACCCACGUAGUCCCUGAGCGGGCUGGCAAGGCGCAU
Molecule: ribosomal RNA, 447 nt
Filed under: uncultured bacterium
Lineage: Bacteria
Description: bacterial SSU rRNA
Rfam family: Bacterial small subunit ribosomal RNA
Source: RNAcentral